UACGUAAUGCGAAUUGCAGAAUUCAGUGAAUCAUCAAAUCUUUGAACGCAAAUUGCGCUUUCGGGAUAGGCCUGGAAGCACGUGUCUUUGAGCAUCGAUUCUACAAACCCUCGACGGCGUGCUUUGUUCGCAAAGCAGGCGCAGUUGGAAUAUGAGCCUUCUCGUGCAAACGAGUGGCUUUAAAUGUAGCGAGUUGCCUGUGAACACAGGUUUGAGUGGAUUUCCAUUCAUAGCCUUGCGUACGACAGAGUGCCAUUUCAACUGGGACUAGUCGCUAGUGACGUGGAUAAUUUCACUUCAUGUGAAUCUUCCAAACGUGACUAGAUGGCGAAACCGGGGCGUUCAGUUAGCGCUUGUGCGAUAAGCCGUGUUUGCUACGCGACGGAUCGUUUGCGCAUUGGCCCUCAAAAGUCAGUGUGCGAACAACACCUUUGAAUCAGAUCUCAAAUGAGACGAGAAAACCCGCUGAACUUAA
RNAcentral lists this ribosomal RNA (475 nucleotides) under uncultured fungus. Its description in RNAcentral is "eukaryotic LSU rRNA". The stretch from base 1 to 97 matches the Rfam family "5.8S ribosomal RNA", at positions 59 to 154 of the family's 154-position model. The record is from RNAcentral. Lineage: Eukaryota; Fungi.